RNAcentral lists this long non-coding RNA (303 nucleotides) under Linum usitatissimum (flax). Its description in RNAcentral is "long non-coding RNA (LUSI_LNC001445)". The record is from RNAcentral. Lineage: Eukaryota; Viridiplantae; Streptophyta; Magnoliopsida; Malpighiales; Linaceae.
UCUGCUGUAGUUGUACCAUUUCCAACAGUAUCAGGCAUUCCUUUUAUGGUACUCGAGGAAUCAAGCUUAUCAGAUGCAAGCAGUAGCACAUCUGAGCUCACUGCAGUGUAAUCCCGGACUUCAAUUGCAUUAUCUGUCAUGUAAGAAUUUACCUGCAUAAAAUGCGCAAGAAACAUACAAGUUACACGUUUAGCUAUUGGGUAUGGAGGCCGGCUAGAACACAUUUUACUUCAAUAUGUGUUCCUCACACAUUCAGAAUCGGAAGAAACUCAUGAUAACACGAGAAGCACUAGAAUGACCCCG